Molecule: ribosomal RNA, 415 nt
Filed under: uncultured bacterium
Lineage: Bacteria
Description: bacterial SSU rRNA
Rfam family: Bacterial small subunit ribosomal RNA
Source: RNAcentral
GCUAAACGCGAAGAACCUUACCAGGUCUUGACAUCCCCCUGAAUACGAUAGAGAUAGCGUAGGCCUUCGGGACGAGGGGAGGACAGGUGGUGCAUGGUUGUCGUCAGCUCGUGUCGUGAGAUGUUGGGUUAAGUCCCGCAACGAGCGCAACCCUUCGAGCUUAGUUGCCAGCACGUUAAGGUGGGCACUCUAGGCUGACUGCCGGUGACAAACCGGAGGAAGGCGGGGAUGACGUCAAAUCAUCAUGCCCCGUUAUGACCUGGGCUACACACGUACUACAAUGGCCGGUACAACGGGUCGCGAAGCCGCGAGGCGGAGCCAAUCCCAGCAAAGCCGGUCUCAGUUCGGAUUGCAGGCUGCAACUCGCCUGCAUGAAGUCGGAAUUGCUAGUAAUCGCGGAUCAGCAUGCCGCGGU